This 421-nucleotide long non-coding RNA is filed under the name Gigantopelta aegis. Its description in RNAcentral is "uncharacterized LOC121372878, transcript variant X1". Lineage: Eukaryota; Metazoa; Mollusca; Gastropoda; Neomphalida; Peltospiridae. The record is from RNAcentral.
CCUAAUGAUAAAGAAAUGUUUACUUGUGUUCAAAUAUAUAUCAAACAAACUCACCGUUUUGAUUAUAAAGUAUAAUUUAAAUUACCAUGUGGAUUAUUUGAAGGAGUGAUCACGAGUUUGACUGCACGUGAAGUGGAAGAUAUAUAAUAUGUGUCUGAUGGGUGUCUGCAGAAUGGUUCUCUUUGUAAUGCAUGCCAGUUUACUAUGUAAUUCCACUGUCCCUAGAAGGAUCCUACAGCUAUUCCUGUCCAGGGCCCCGUUCCACAAAAGAAUUAUAGCUAAAGUUAACUGUAGUGACUUAAGGUUUAACCUGCUCCAACCAUUUCUGGCAUUGUUAAGAGGAGCGGACGGGAUUUAACUCAAUCGGUUGAGUGCUCGCUUGAGGUGCUUGCGCCGAAGGAUCGAACCACCCCGGUGAAUC